RNAcentral lists this ribosomal RNA (279 nucleotides) under uncultured bacterium. RNAcentral describes it as "partial 16S ribosomal RNA". It matches the Rfam family "Bacterial small subunit ribosomal RNA", at positions 29 to 335 of the family's 1533-position model. The record is from RNAcentral.
AGCGAACGCUGGCGGCAGGCUUAACACAUGCAAGUCGAGCGGGCACUUCGGUGUCAGCGGCAGACGGGUGAGUAACACGUGGGAACGUGCCCUUCGGUUCGGAAUAACUCAGGGAAACUUGAGCUAAUACCGGAUACGCCCUUUGGGGGAAAGGUUUACUGCCGAAGGAUCGGCCCGCGUCUGAUUAGCUAGUUGGUGGGGUAAUGGCCUACCAAGGCGACGAUCGGUAGCCGGCCUGAGAGGGUGANCGGCCACACUGGAACUGAGACACGGUCCAGA